GGACGUAUUCCAGGGCCUCAAUGUCUUUCCUGUAGCCAGGGGCCCAAAACUGAACACAGUCCUGGAGGUGCAGCCUCACCAGUCCCAUGCUUGUUUGAAGCCCCAUAUCCAAAAUUUUAUUAUAGUAAUUCUGGAACACUUUAUGAUCUUUUAGCACUCUACGAUCUUUUAACCACUAUCCAUCAUAUUUUUAGAAGCCAUGUCAGUCCAGUGAAGUUCCCACCAACUGGAAUUCUGAAGAAAGGAAAAAAAGAAAGGCCCUGGAGAAGUGCAGACAAGUCAGUCUGCCCUCUGUGCAUGUUAGGAUUAUAGAGCAGAACCUGGAAACUGUGCUAAGGUACAUGGAAAAUAAGGAGGUGACAGCCACCAGUAAGCCAUCAGUAAGGCUAAAUUGUUCCUGAAAAAUUUGGUGGCCUUCUGCAAUGGGGUUACAACACUGGUGGAUAAGAGCAACUGAGGUCAUCUACCUGGACUUGUACAAAGUGUUUGACACUGUCCCACAAGACAUUCUUGUCUCUAAAUUGGAGAGAUGUGAAUUUUCUGGAUGGAGCACUCAGUGGAUAAAGAAUUGGAUGGAUGGUUGCGCUCAAAGUGUUGUGUUCAAUGUCCAGGUGGAGAUCAGUGAUUAAUAACAUCUGUCACGGGAUGGUAUUGGGACCAGCUCUGUUUAAAAUCUUUGCUGGCAACAUGAACAGUGUGAUUGAACACACCCUCAACACGUUUGCUGAUGACACCAAGCUGUGUGACACGGCACACUGGAGGGAAGGGAUGCCAUCCAUAAGGACCUUGAGAGGCUUGAGAGGUGGGCCUGUGCAAACUUCAUGGAGUUCAACAAGGCCAAGUGCAAGGUCUUGCCCCUGGCUCAGGGCAAUAUCAAGCACAAAUACAGGCUGAAUGGAGAAUAGAUUGAGUGCAUCCCUGAGGAGAAGGACUUAGAGGUGCUGGUUGAUGAGUAGCUCAGCAUGACCCAGCAGUGUGCAUUUGCAGCCCAGAAGGCCAACCAUAACCUGGGCUGCAUUGAAAGAAGUGUGGCCAGCAGGUUGAGGGAGGAGGUUCUCCUCCUCUGCUCUACUCUUGGGAGACCUUACCUGCAUCCAGCUCUUGGGUCCCCAGUGUAAGAAGGGCAUGGACCUGUUGGUGUGGGUCCAGAGGAAGAUGAUCAGAGAACUGGAGCAACUCUCCUGUGAAGUGAGACUGAGAGAGCUGAAGUUGUUCAGCCCAGAGAAGAGAAGGCUAUAGGGAGACCAUAUAGCAGCCUUCCAGUACCUAAGGGGGCCUACAGGAAAGCUGGAGAGGGGUUCUUAUCAGGGAGUGUAGAGGUAAGUUAAGGGACAAUGGCUUUAAACUGAAAGAAAGUAGAUGUAGAUUGGAUGUAAGCAAGACAUUCUUCAUUGUCAGGGUGGUGAGGCACUGGCACAGGCUGCCCAGAGAAACUGUUGCUGCCUCAUCCCUGUAGGUGUUUAAGGCCAGCUUGGAUGGAGCUUUGAGCAAUGUGGUCAAAGCAACAUGGAGGCAGAGGUAUUGGAACUAGGUGAUCUUUAAGGUCUCUUCCAACCCAAAUCAUUCUAUGGUUCUGUAUUAACGUAAGAAAAUCUGUCUUACUGAGGCCAGUCAAAUCACUGAGAGCUGAGGGUACUUUAAUGAGCUGGGGAUUGGGUCAAAUCCUGAUAAUGCUCUCAAGAAAUAAAAUCAGAUCAACUUUCUCAGUUAAUUUUGACAAGUAUUAUCUCACAGUUGAUAAACAGUCUGUACCUUUACGCCUCGUCCUAGGGAGAAAAUUUAAAUCUUGACAAAGCUUGUUUUUGGAUCUGGAUAUCUUAGAAGCUUUUUUUCCCCGCUAGAAAGGAUUUAAACUCCCUGUUGUGCCAAUCCCUCAUCAUUUGGCAUUCACCUCUGUUUGUUGUUUCAAUUUGUUCAUGUAGGUCCAAUACCAGUCAGCACUCAAGCACAUACUCUGUUUAUAAGCUCUUCCACAAGAAACACCUGGAAGAAUACCCACUUACAGGUCUGCCAGUUUGUGUGGAGAGUCAGUGCCUGAAGCAUUGUAACCUUAAUUAUUCUUAGUAAACGUAGUGAUGCUGUAAACAUCACAUUUUUCUCCUGUUGAGACAGACCAGAACUGAAAUCCUGCAAAAAAUUCUCUCUACUUCUAUUUGAGAAAUCUUCAACAUAAUUGGUCUGAGUCUAGAUUCAUUUAAACAGACCUUCAUGGUUAUUGAAGACAUAGACUUCAGACCAGCAUGACAGCCACAGAGCCUACAGUAAUCAGCACUUUUAUGUCUUCAGAAAGAAUGUGAUGAUUCUUCAUUAUUAUUCUACCAGAGUGGCAGCGGGGAUGUGUUUCAACCAGGGCACAGCUGCAUGAGGCCUCAUAAAACUCAUAGUAAAACAUAGACCAUUCCACAGAGAGCUUGCAGCACGUAGUGUUAAAAUGAGAUUAAGCCUGUAACAGCACAUCUGGUGUCCUCCUCCCCACAAUGAUGAGAGCAUAUCUGUUUUCUUCCACAAAGUAUGCCAAACGUAUCCUCCACCAUACUAGGGCCAGCUUCUUUAAAAAAAAAAUCAACAGCACAAUAAAACCUCCAAAAAAUCUCCAGUAACUAAACCAGUGUGUCAAAAUUUUAAAAAGGAAGGCUGAAAGCAGUAAAUACUCUGCUCCCUCACCUUUCAACUCACCUGAAACAUUAGCUUUCAGCCUGUUUUGAGCACUCCUCUGCACCUGCUAGUCAGCAAUUGCACCCAGAUGUUUUCCAUUGGCUGUGCCUGGGAUUCCCACACUCGGCAGUAUGGGAGGGCCCCAGAACAACUAGGGUGUAGCUGCAAACAAGUUCCUGACCUCUGUAAAAAGUUUACGUUAUUUACAAGAAACGGAGGAGGCUUUCACUCACAGUGCACCUUAGGUUCAGGGAAUGUGGGGCUGCCCUUUUCAUCUUUGGAAGCGGUUGGUACUCUCACUGAAUCUAAUUCACUUGGCUGUUUUCCAGACCUCUGCUCUGUGAGCUGUUCUGCUUGGGCAGGCAUACCUUGCUGCAUUUUGUGGUGGAUAGCGCAAUCAAACAAAUCAGACUGUCCUACAGUAGAGCGGAUACGUCUUCACGCUACAGACCUCAGAGAACUUUGAUACAGGGAUUGUUUCCAAGGUGUUCAAUGGCAUUUGUCCAACAGCAGAACAAAGACAGCAACAGAACUUCCAUUUCAUGUUUUUCACCAAAUCGUGGCAGGCUGAAGUGAAUUCAGUGCCCAUGGCUCAGCUCCUCUGUUGGGCUCCUCAGCCUUUGUAUGUAAGGCCAAUUCAAACCUAGGAGAUGAUGCUCAGAAAUUGUACUGAGAGGAGUAUCUGAAUGUGGGACUUUGGAGUGAAAAGUACUACUACAGGAAAGUAAAAUGCCAUCCCUUCCACAGCUGUGCUUCAGGCAAAGCCUGUCCUGGUUUUGCUGCCAUUUUUGUUGAUGAGAAAAUAAUUGAAUUUUUAUCAUCUGUCGUCUUUUUAAACUGAAGAAAUUUAAUUGGAAUGAUUGCCCAGUUAUUACUUUCUUUUUUUACAAGAGAUUUCUUCUGUAAAAUGCUUUGACAAAUAUUGACAGCAGUCACAGUAAAAUUUAAGGUGUAUGAAAAAUUUGCAGAAUUUCACCAUCCGUUUGCACAUCUUUCUGUCACUUCAGAAAGCUUCUCAGCUUAAACACUUGACAACUGACGGAGCUGCUAAACUUUUAGUGAAUGAGGACCAAAUAAAUAACUGCAAGGCCUGUAUCUGUGCACAUUCACAGAGCUGAAUUGUUCCGGAUGGACACCAGUGACUGGUGGAGGGAUGCUGGACUCAGCACAUAUCUAGGACAGCGAGCGUGCCAUGCCUGAUUCCUGCCAGCACCAGGACUUCAGCAGUAGGAAGACACUAGCAGCAUAAAUGUCAUUUAUACCUGCUGCAAGACCUCUGUGGAGUGAUAAUACAAAUGACAACCUGUCUCAGCCCUUCCCAAGGGCUGAGAGUUAUCACAGCAUAAGUUAGAAGAUAGAUUACAUCUUAUAACAAAACAGACUCGAAUACAACACAUGCAAGCAUCACAGUCUGUGCAGAAAGCAGAAGAGUGUUAUGCUGGGCAGAGGUAAAAAUAAGCAAGCUAAUCUCGAAUGACACUGGAAAAGAAAACAGCUGAAGGACUUUUCCUCUCUGUGAGUUUCGUGGUAAAUACCACUCAGUUUUCGGUAUCAUUAACAUUUUAUUAUUAUGACUACUAUUAGACAGCAUCCCCACCUACUUUUGCCUAUAUUUUCUGGGCAUGUCUCUGCAUUUUACAAGUUAGAGGUUGUGCUAGCAAUUGGAAAUAUUGUAUCAUCAUUUCAUUAUCACCCGGCUUGGAGAGAGGAUCACCCAGUAAUUGGGUUUUGUCCACGGAGAUAAUGCAAGGGAGGAGGCAGCUACAAACUCUUCUAUAGUCACUAUGAAACUACAUUUGUUUCCUUGAAGAACCAGCAAUGCUUCUCUGUAAAUUGAUCACAGCUUCGUUUUUUUCCUUGCUUCUCUUGAUUUGAAACAAUCCAACCUACCCUAUUUCUUGCAUGCCACAAGAGAUAUCACAGUCCUCUUUCUCUCCAAAUGACUCAGGGUCAAUGUAAUCUGAAAAACAGCUCUAACAAAACAAGCUCUUUGCAGAUAAAACCACAAGAACAAAAUCCAGUGUAAGUCUCCUCCAAAAAUUGUUUGCAUGUUUCCCUUUCCUUUACAUCUAUAUUUACUGGUAUGCAUAAGAGACAGCAUCCAGUUUUACUUGGAAACUCUUACAUAAAGAUGAGAAUGGGAACGUGAUAUGUCAGAGGUCACAUUUCAUCUACUUUGCCUGGAAGAGCUCUUACAAUAACUAUAAUUGGAAACAAAAGUGAAAAACAGCACUUAAUAAAAAUUACAUGGAAUCAGAUAGGAUGUGCAUGUGUUUGUGUGGGUAUUGGUCUCCUUGGCUAUCUUCAGUACUUUUUAAAAAACUGUACAAAAUUAUAAGCCAAACCCCUAAGAAUGGAUAAAUAAAAGAAUGAGAUGAGCCUGUUAACUU
Long non-coding RNA from Numida meleagris (helmeted guineafowl), 5045 nucleotides. RefSeq lists it as uncharacterized. The record is from RefSeq and is a predicted model, not a curated record. The transcript has 3 exons. Lineage: Eukaryota; Metazoa; Chordata; Aves; Galliformes; Numididae.